Molecule: ribosomal RNA, 643 nt
Filed under: uncultured Actinomycetes bacterium
Lineage: Bacteria; Bacillati; Actinomycetota; Actinomycetes
Description: bacterial SSU rRNA
Rfam family: Bacterial small subunit ribosomal RNA
Source: RNAcentral
CGCGGCCUAUCAGCUUGUUGGUGGGGUAGUGGCCUACCAAGGCGACGACGGGUAGCCGGCCUGAGAGGGUGACCGGCCACACUGGGACUGAGACACGGCCCAGACUCCUACGGGAGGCAGCAGUGGGGAAUAUUGCGCAAUGGGCGAAAGCCUGACGCAGCGACGCCGCGUGGGGGAUGGCGGCCUUCGGGUUGUAAACCUCUUUCAGCAGGGACGAAGCGAAAGUGACGGUACCUGCAGAAGAAGCACCGGCCAACUACGUGCCAGCAGCCGCGGUAAUACGUAGGGUGCAAGCGUUGUCCGGAAUUAUUGGGCGUAAAGAGCUCGUAGGCGGUUUGUUGCGUCGGCUGUGAAAACCUGAGGCUCAACCUCAGGCCUGCAGUCGAUACGAGCAGACUAGAGUGUUGCAGGGGAGACUGGAAUUCCUGGUGUAGCGGUGAAAUGCGCAGAUAUCAGGAGGAACACCGGUGGCGAAGGCGGGUCUCUGGGCAACAACUGACGCUGAGGAGCGAAAGCGUGGGGAGCGAACAGGAUUAGAUACCCUGGUAGUCCACGCCGUAAACGUUGGGCGCUAGGUGUGGGGCUCAUUCCACGAGUUCCGUGCCGCAGCUAACGCGUUGAGCGCCCCGCCUGGGGAGUACGG